CACACCCUUAGAGCGGCUGUUGUCUUACUCUCUGCUAGGGUUUGUCUCCUCACCGCUUUCAAGUUUGCUCGAGCUCUUUCCUACUCCACCUCCUAAGCGUACUCCUUAAUCUGUUGCGUCCGUGUCUACCAUCGAGGUCUUGCUCUAGCUCAUUCCAGAUAAAAGAGUUACUCAGGGUCAACAAAGGAGGAAUGAUUUCGCUGCAUAGUCUGCAUAGGCUGGACUUUAAAUUUCUUUAUGGGCUUUUCUUUAGGGCUACGGCCUAUGUACCUGUUCGUUCUUGGAUUCAUAUACUUUUUGUCAAACUCUUUAACUAGUUUUCUUUUGGGACUUCGUGGUGUGCCUUGGAUGGUAAGGAGUUAAGUUUUAAACUCCUGGACUGCACUAUUAUGUUAUCUUUAUGUGACGCUUCCUUUAGU
Long non-coding RNA from Vigna unguiculata (cowpea), 419 nucleotides. RefSeq lists it as uncharacterized. The record is from RefSeq and is a predicted model, not a curated record. NCBI's taxonomy places the organism in Eukaryota, Viridiplantae, Streptophyta, Magnoliopsida, Fabales, Fabaceae.